GACAGCAGCAGCUGGACUUCCUUUCACUGUCUUCCACUCAGCAGGUGGAGCCUCGCCGUUGACACAAGGCUGCUUGCUGUGUCCUCCAAGUAAAACACAAACCCGCACAUUUCACAGAAAGCACCGUCGCUGUGCAAUUCAUCUUGCUCCCCUGAGUCCAGGGGAUUGAACCCAGAGCCUCGUGUGUUUUCAGUACAGAAGACUGAACCCAGGGCAUCAAGCAUUCUAGGCAAAUGUUCUACCACUGACUGCAAACCCCAGCCCAACCU
RNAcentral lists this long non-coding RNA (269 nucleotides) under Rattus norvegicus (Norway rat). RNAcentral describes it as "long non-coding RNA NONRATT033054". The record is from RNAcentral. Lineage: Eukaryota; Metazoa; Chordata; Mammalia; Rodentia; Muridae.